RNAcentral lists this unclassified non-coding RNA (273 nucleotides) under Scopulariopsis candida. Its description in RNAcentral is "sequence contains 28S rRNA gene". Lineage: Eukaryota; Fungi; Ascomycota; Sordariomycetes; Microascales; Microascaceae. The record is from RNAcentral.
UAACACUCCGAAGAGCCACAUUCCCGCCGCCUUUCUCCCCCCAGGCGAACUGAUGCUGGCCUGAGCCCGCCGGAGUGCGCCGCCGACAAGCGACGGUUGAUCCGACGGGCGCAAGUCUGGUCGCAAGCGCUUCCCUUUUAACAAUUUCACGUGCUUUUUAACUCUCUUUUCAAAGUGCUUUUCAUCUUUCGAUCACUCUACUUGUGCGCUAUCGGUCUCUGGCCGGUAUUUAGCUUUAGAAGGGGUUUACCUCCCAUUUUGAGCAGCAUUCCC